Molecule: long non-coding RNA, 1368 nt
Filed under: Coturnix japonica (Japanese quail)
Lineage: Eukaryota; Metazoa; Chordata; Aves; Galliformes; Phasianidae
Description: lncRNA (ENSCJPG00005012737.1)
Source: RNAcentral
AUGUCAGCAGUGGGAUAUGCAGGGUGCCUUUGCAUUCUGGUGCUGGGCUGGGGGCACUGGGGCUCCCCUGGCAUUACUGAUCAGCCACCACGUCUGCUGGUGCUGGUGACUGCUAGGUCCUAUCUUGGUUGUUCUCUACAGGAGCUGCUGGAAAAUGAGCCCAUGGACCAGCUGUGCACAGCAGUGCGGUACCAAGCCAUGCUUGCAGUCGCUGCCUUGAGGUACCUGCCCAACCUUGGCUUUCCCUGCUCUUCCCCAGGGUACAAUCCUGGAGGCUCUGACCUCAGCUUGGUGACAUCCCCCAUGUGGGCAGGGAAGCCCUCAGCUCUCCUCUGCCCUGGGCUUCUCCAGAAGUCACAGGAAGCCCUGAAGCUCCCUGCAGUGUCUCGGCUCUUGCCCAAGAGCGGGAGGCAUCAGGACUAUCCUCCAGGCCAGUCCUGUGGAGAAGGCACCUCCCAGCCAGGCUCUACAUCCCUUCCAGGGAGCCUUGCCCAGGAGAGAACUUGUUCCACCUCUGCCUCAGCAUCAAGGCACUGCUCCCAACAUCAGGGUCUCUCUAUUUGCAGUGAAAUGAAGGCCAUUUCGGAGGAUGAAAUAAUGCCUCUCGCAUUUAUGUGCUUCAAAGCCAUCUCCUAUCUUCCUCCAGAAGAGGACCUGAACAUCUGCCUUUACAAUCAAACUCUGCAUGCUAUGGAGAAAAUGCUGCAGAAGCUGCUGGUCAGCCAUCGCACCUCCAGCAGAAAGGAGCUGCAGAACAUCUUGCAGGUGCUUCUGCCCUUCACCAAAUCCCAGAGAAAAACUGUGCGUGAGAGGGCCAUGGAGCAGAUCUGGAAGCUUUGUGGUUUCAUGGCCACCGGUUUCUGUGAGGAGCCAUUUGGAAAACUCCUCCAACCUCCUCAGAGAACAGACAUCGUCCUCAUGGCCCUUGAAAGGACCACUGCAGACUGCGUUGAUGAGGACGAUGCAUGGGCCGAAAUUAUACUGAAAGAAGUUCUGAGACAGCCUGGCAUCUGGCUGAUGCACGUGCCAGUGAUUAUGGGGUUCAUCUACAGACGCUUAAAAAGCAACAAAACAUCAGUUCAGCAGACACUCCUCUCAGUACUUGAUGUGCUGGCCUACCAGUUCCCUAGGCAUGUGCUGACAGCUGUGUUGAUCCACCUUCCACAGACUGACAGCACUACUAUGGAUAUGUGGAAGGGCGUGCUUUCUUCUACACGGUCAUCAGAGAGGGUCUUAGAAGCACUAGUGUGCGCAGUACCUCCUUUCCCUGACUGUGAUUUACCAGACAGUGCACUGUACUCUUUUUCAGGGCUCUUUUUCUCCAGUUCCCUGCUUUUUCCUGUCUUGCCCCCCAGAACAGGAAGCUAG